This 390-nucleotide ribosomal RNA is filed under the name uncultured bacterium. Its description in RNAcentral is "bacterial SSU rRNA". It matches the Rfam family "Bacterial small subunit ribosomal RNA", at positions 28 to 417 of the family's 1533-position model. The record is from RNAcentral.
GACGAACGCUGGCGGCGUGCUUAACACAUGCAAGUCGAGCGGUAAGGCCCUUUCGGGGGUACGACGAGCGGCGAACGGGUGAGUAACACGUGGGUGACCUGCCCUCAGCUCUGGGAUAAGCCUGGGAAACCGGGUCUAAUACUGGAUAUGACUCCAUGACGCAUGUUGUGGGGUGGAAAGCCUUGUGCGGCUGAGGAUGGGGCCCGCGGCCUAUCAGCUUGUUGGUGGGGUGANGGCCUACCAAGGCGACGACGGGUAGCCGGCCUGAGAGGGCGACCGGCCACACUGGGACUGAGACACGGCCCAGACUCCUACGGGAGGCAGCAGUGGGGAAUCUUGCGCAAUGGGCGAAAGCCUGACGCAGCGGCGCCGCGUGAGGGAUGACGGCCU